CAAUAGCGUAUAUUAAAGUUGUUGCGGUUAAAAGCUCGUAGUUGGAUUUCUGUUGAGGUCGGGCGGUGUGCACCUCGUGCAUUAUUUGCUUCGGUCUCGGCAUCCUCCUGGGGAACGUUUAGGACUUUAUUGGACUAGGCGAGAUUCAGGACUUUUACUUUGAGGAAAUUAGAGUGUUCACGGCAAGCAAGCGCGGUAAUACAUUAGCAUGGAAUAAUAAUAUAGGACCUUCGUUCUAUUUUGUUGGUUUCUAGAACUUAGGUAAUGAUUAAUAGGGACAAUUGGGGGCAUUCGUAUUAACGCGUCAGAGGUGGAAUUCUUGGAUUGCGUUACGACGAACUACUGCGAAAGCAUUUGCCAAAGAUGUUUUUCAUUGAUCAAGAACGAAAGUAUGGGGAUCGAAGAUGAUUAGAU
RNAcentral lists this ribosomal RNA (414 nucleotides) under uncultured eukaryote. RNAcentral's name for it is "SSU rRNA". It matches the Rfam family "Eukaryotic small subunit ribosomal RNA", at positions 592 to 1013 of the family's 1831-position model. The record is from RNAcentral.